CGGCAGGCUUAACACAUGCAAGUCGAGCGGGCGUAGCAAUACGUCAGCGGCAGACGGGUGAGUAACGCGUGGGAACGUACCUUUUGGUUCGGAACAACACAGGGAAACUUGUGCUAAUACCGGAUAAGCCCUUACGGGGAAAGAUUUAUCGCCGAAAGAUCGGCCCGCGUCUGAUUAGCUAGUUGGUGAGGUAAUGGCUCACCAAGGCGACGAUCAGUAGCUGGUCUGAGAGGAUGAUCAGCCACAUUGGGACUGAGACACGGCCCAAACUCCUACGGGAGGCAGCAGUGGGGAAUAUUGGACAAUGGGGGCAACCCUGAUCCAGCCAUGCCGCGUGAGUGAUGAAGGCCCUAGGGUUGUAAAGCUCUUUUGUGCGGGAAGAUAAUGACGGUACCGCAAGAAUAAGCCCCGGCUAACUUCGUGCCAGCAGCCGCGGUAAUACGAAGGGGGCUAGCGUUGCUCGGAAUCACUGGGCGUAAAGGGUGCGUAGGCGGGUCUUUAAGUCAGGGGUGAAAUCCUGGAGCUCAACUCCAGAACUGCCUUUGAUACUGAAGAUCUUGAGUUCGGGAGAGGUGAGUGGAACUGCGAGUGUAGAGGUGAAAUUCGUAGAUAUUCGCAAGAACACCAGUGGCGAAGGCGGCUCACUGGCCCGAUACUGACGCUGAGGCACGAAAGC
Molecule: ribosomal RNA, 676 nt
Filed under: Bradyrhizobium sp. Sj1
Lineage: Bacteria; Pseudomonadati; Pseudomonadota; Alphaproteobacteria; Hyphomicrobiales; Nitrobacteraceae
Description: bacterial SSU rRNA
Rfam family: Bacterial small subunit ribosomal RNA
Source: RNAcentral